This 2083-nucleotide long non-coding RNA is filed under the name Orbicella faveolata. RNAcentral describes it as "uncharacterized LOC110065525". The record is from RNAcentral. Lineage: Eukaryota; Metazoa; Cnidaria; Anthozoa; Scleractinia; Merulinidae.
GAUUAUUCUGGAUACCAUAAAAACCUUGUCCAAUAACUGUUUACUACAUGUAAUUGUUGAGAAAACUGAUGAGCAAGUAGUUUUGAGAAGUAUUCUUGAAGGAAUCCUGAUCAUGUGCAAUUUUUUUUAUUAUUGAACAGAUCAGUGGUGAAGGAGCUGACACAAUAAGGUAAAUUAUAACUACCAGCAAUCAACAAACAAAAAAAACAUACAUGGCUAUACACAUGUACAUGUUGGGACACAUUGCUUUGUACAUGCAUUAAUUAUUAAUAUUGAUGUGACUUCAAAACAUUGAGUACUGUACCUUGAUACAGAGGCCUCUACUGAUAACAUUUAUUAAUAACUUAAUCAAACUGAGCUUAUAAAUACACAAAGACCAUGCUGCUCAUAUGAAUAUCACACGAGAAUCAGUGGUACUAGUAUGGAUAACCAACAUACAAAUACCGUGGAUGUUCCACAGGGUACGCAGAGAGAAAAAUACGGCCAUUUUAUCAAGCCUGCAGUUCCUAACAAUGUUUGAAUCAAUAACAUUUGGAUAUAAGCGCCUAUAACCCCCAAAUUAUUUUUUACUCCAAAACAAUAUCGACACAUUCUUGAUCACAAUACCAAAAAAAUGUUUGCUUUUGGUUGUAACUGCAAUUUUUUAUCAAUUUUCAGUCAUGAAAAAUUGCUAUAAUGAAAUUGUUACCGAGUCGAAGAAUGAGUCAAAAGGAUCUUGGUCUAGCACAUUUUGUGACAUCAUACACAGAGAUCAUUCGCAACACAUUCACACACAUAUACUUGUUCGUCUCAAGUUGUUGUAACAUUAUUCUGAGCAAGAAAAUGUACAUAAAACUGUGAGAGCCGAUCCAGUUCUUGGCAGUGUACAUUGAGCACCUCAGCAAACAAGAUUUGGGAAGAUUGAAUCCCAGGUUUGAUCAAUCAGGGAGUCUGCAGCAAAGAAUGCGUAAAGAUGAAAUUAUAAUUACAAGGGCUUUGGUUCAUUCAGGUUACAGAAUUUUGGUAGAAUUCAGGGUAAUUUAUCGUGUCAAUUGAAACAAUUAUCUUUGUUUGAAUGCAUUAAGUGAUUCUGGUGGCCGCCACUGAUUUGAGUCAGAGUUUCAAAUCUUCUCAGUCUGUUUACAUGUACUACAUGAACGAUCAACUUGAUUCAUGGCAGUUCACAUUUGUGCAUAGUUUACUGAAUUAUCUGAACAAACAACCACCACAAAAUUAAAGAUGUGAGACUUUCAUUGGCAAAUUGCAAUGCAAAUAGUUAUUCCAAGUCAGGGUAUUCUGACUUGGAAUAGGGUAAUUCUUUCUACAAAUCUUCAAAGCAAUUCCGGUUUAUUUAGAUCAGCUUUGCAUUCCCUGUGGAAUGAGAACGCUACAUCAACUGGGUUUACAAGCUCAUGGACAGAGUCUUCCAGAGUUUAGAAUCUGAAGAACUUUGGAUGACAAACGUGCAAUACAUCUAAACAACUUACAGUAUAUGUUUAAGAUUGCCAAGAAAAGGUUAUUUCAUUGACAUACUAGGGAAGUUCAUCACUACUUUUCAAUGGUAGUCUACUCUGGAGACUACCAUUUAUGUUCACUUCACCUUACAGGAUUUUAGAUGAGAUCAUGAUUGAACAUGAUUACAUGCCUUCCCAGCAAGAUGCCCAGCAAUGGCAUCAACUUUUAACACAAGAGUUGGGAGGAGAAGAACUAUGAACUGAAAAUCAAGAUGACCAACACUUGAGUCAAACUGUUGACAUUUUUGUAAAUUUUAAUUUGUUUUCAAAGAAAAGAAAAUGUUAAAAUCCAUACAUUAAUGAAUGUAAAUGAAUAAUUAUAAAUUUUCUUGAUUUCAUGACCAUUGGACAAAAAGCAAAAAUUGUUUGACAGAUUACACUGAGCAAUUUUUUGUUACACUUUUAGUUUAGUUGGCAAUUUUUGCAUAUGUAUAUAUACACUGUUUAUUGGAACAUAAGAUGUAUAAAGUUCUAUGUACAAACAAUAAAAGGAUUAUUGAUUACAUUAUGCUGCAAAUAUUAAGUUUAAUAAUAGGAAUAAGACAGUAAGAGUGAAAGGGCUAGCCUGUUACAAGAGACUUACUUUAAAA